UUGCAUUGCAUUUAUCCAAUUUACAUCUUUUUCAGCUUCUUCAUAAUUCUUAGGUUCUAUUUGUGAAACAAAAGCAAGAUAGUCAUUUAUAUUUCUAAGAGAGGAUCGAGUUCUUACCCCUUGAGAUGAAUCACCAAUGAUUAAGUCUUUAGGAUGCCCAUAUGCGUACCUCCAUCCCUUUUGUAAGUCUUGAGACUUGAGAGUGUGGUGGUACAUGAUCGUCCUCUUUAUCAUGAUUUGGUACGUCAUUAAGAUUCAAUUUUUCCAACUCAAGAAUUCCUACAUCAUCAUCAGAAGUAUUUUCUCUCCUAGGAGACUCGUUAUCAGACUCAUCAAAAAUGAUAUGAAUUGACUCUUCAACUACAAGUGUUCUUUUGUUGAAUACUCUGUAUGCCCUGCUAGAUGUAGAGUAUCCUAAAAAGAU
This 424-nucleotide long non-coding RNA is filed under the name Phoenix dactylifera (date palm). RNAcentral's name for it is "long non-coding RNA (PDAC_LNC022960)". Lineage: Eukaryota; Viridiplantae; Streptophyta; Magnoliopsida; Arecales; Arecaceae. The record is from RNAcentral.